CCAGACGGCCGGGCGACCGCUGCCAGCCCCCAUGGGUCAUUCCUGGGGGCGGUGGAGGAAAGUCCGGGCUCCACGAGAAGACGGUGCCGGUUAACGACCGGCGGGGGCGACCCCAGGGACAGUGCCACAGAGAAAAGACCGCCCGCGUCGCCGAAAGGCCCGCGGGUAAGGGUGAAACGGUGGGGUAAGAGCCCACCGCGCCCCUGGCGACAGGGGCGGCACGGUAAACCCCACCGGGAGCAAGGCCGAAUAGGGAUGGCCGGAGGGAGCCCGGAAGGGCUCGCCGCCAGGGGCCUUCCCGCCCCGCCAUCCGGGUUGGCCGCGAGAAGUUCCUGGCGACAGGGACUCCAGAGGAAUGGUCGCCCGGUCCGCAAGGACCGACAGAACCCGGCUUACAGGCCGUCUGGCAUU
Molecule: RNase P RNA, 411 nt
Filed under: Muricoccus nepalensis
Lineage: Bacteria; Pseudomonadati; Pseudomonadota; Alphaproteobacteria; Acetobacterales; Roseomonadaceae
Description: Roseomonas nepalensis Bacterial RNase P class A
Rfam family: Bacterial RNase P class A
About the family: Ribonuclease P (RNase P) is a ubiquitous endoribonuclease, found in archaea, bacteria and eukarya as well as chloroplasts and mitochondria. Its best characterised activity is the generation of mature 5'-ends of tRNAs by cleaving the 5'-leader elements of precursor-tRNAs.
Source: Rfam by way of RNAcentral